UACAGAGGGUGCGAGCGUUGUUCGGAAUUAUUGGGCGUAAAGCGCUGGUAGGUGGCUUGAAAAGACGCGUGUGAAAGCUUCCGGCUCAACCGGAAAAGUGCGCGCGAAACUGGCGAGCUUGAGUGCCGGAGAGGGUCGCGGAAUUCCCGGUGUAGAGGUGAAAUUCGUAGAUAUCGGGAGGAACACCAGAGGCGAAGGCGGCGACCUGGAAGGUAACUGACACUGAGAAGCGAAAGCGUGGGUAGCAAACAGG
RNAcentral lists this ribosomal RNA (253 nucleotides) under uncultured bacterium. Its description in RNAcentral is "partial 16S ribosomal RNA". It matches the Rfam family "Bacterial small subunit ribosomal RNA", at positions 524 to 776 of the family's 1533-position model. The record is from RNAcentral.